RNAcentral lists this ribosomal RNA (465 nucleotides) under uncultured bacterium. Its description in RNAcentral is "partial 16S ribosomal RNA". It matches the Rfam family "Bacterial small subunit ribosomal RNA", at positions 28 to 507 of the family's 1533-position model. The record is from RNAcentral.
GACGAACGCUGGCGGCGUGCUUAACACAUGCAAGUCGAACGCUGAACCCGCUUCGGUGGGGGAUGAGUGGCGAACGGGUGAGUAACACGUGGGCAACCUGCCCCCGGCUCUGGGAUAACUCCAAGAAAUUGGGGCUAAUACCGGAUGUGACCGCUGGCCGCAUGGUCUGGUGGUGGAAAGGGUUUCCGGCUGGGGAUGGGCCCGCGGCCUAUCAGCUUGUUGGUGGGGUAGUGGCCUACCAAGGCGACGACGGGUAGCCGGCCGGGGGGGGUGACCGGCCAAACUGGGAAUGAGACACGGCCCAGACUCCUACGGGAGGCAGAAGUGGGGAAUAUUGAGCAAUGGGCGGAAGCCUGACGCAGCGACGCCGCGUGGGGGAUGACGGCCUUCGGGUUGUAAACCUCUUUCAGCAGGGACGAAGCGCAAGUGACGGUACCUGCAGAAGAAGCACCGGCCAACUACGUG